AACGAACGCUGGCGGCAUGCCUAACACAUGCAAGUCGAACGAGACCUUCGGGUCUAGUGGCGCACGGGUGCGUAACGCGUGGGAACCUGCCCUUAGGUUCGGAAUAACUCCCCGAAAGGGGUGCUAAUACCGGCUAAUGUCUUCGGACCAAAGAUUUAUCGCCUUUGGAUGGGCCCGCGUUGGAUUAGCUAGUUGGUAGGGUAAAAGCCUACCAAGGCGACGAUCCAUAGCUGGUCAGAGAGGCUGAUCAGCCACACUGGGACUGAGACACGGCCCCGACUCCUACGGGAGGCAGCAGUGGGGAAUAUUGGACAAUGGGCGAAAGCCUGAUCCAGCAAUGCCGCGUGAGUGAUGAAGGCCUUAGGGUUGUAAAGCUCUUUUACCCGGGAUGAUAAUGACAGUACCGGGAGAAUAAGCACCGGCUAACUCCGUG
RNAcentral lists this ribosomal RNA (433 nucleotides) under uncultured bacterium. RNAcentral's name for it is "partial 16S ribosomal RNA". It matches the Rfam family "Bacterial small subunit ribosomal RNA", at positions 29 to 507 of the family's 1533-position model. The record is from RNAcentral.